RNAcentral lists this small nucleolar RNA (82 nucleotides) under Moschus moschiferus (Siberian musk deer). Its description in RNAcentral is "Small nucleolar RNA ZL8 (ENSMMSG00000019057.1)". It matches the Rfam family "Small nucleolar RNA ZL8". Rfam says of the family: Host gene C6orf48. No homologs outside of mammals. Lineage: Eukaryota; Metazoa; Chordata; Mammalia; Artiodactyla; Moschidae. The record is from Rfam by way of RNAcentral.
UCAGAGUGGUGGCGAUGAACUGGUUGGACUAGAGUCUCUGAGCGCUUCUCUGAUGAUCUCUGAAACCACCUGAUCCACUCGU